Molecule: unclassified non-coding RNA, 375 nt
Filed under: Hevea brasiliensis (rubber tree)
Lineage: Eukaryota; Viridiplantae; Streptophyta; Magnoliopsida; Malpighiales; Euphorbiaceae
Source: RNAcentral
AGAAACUGAAUGCGAUCAUCUCCAAUGACUUUACAAUAGACAAAUCCAAUUAUUUUCACCAAGUAGAAGAACAUUACAGCAACAUAAAAUAACGCCAACAAAUAUUUUGUAGAUCUGACCUGAUUGUAGUAAAUCUACAUCCCCUUUAUACUGUAACCCUCUUUGAACAGGUUGUUAUAUAAUUUAUCAGGGAUCAAAACUUUCAAAAAUUGGUGAAGAAAGCAUCCAGUUGGAGAAUUUAAAAGAUGGCAUUAAAAUGAAGAAGAUAGAGAGUGUACGGAAAGAUAUGGAGCCAAAAGAAAAUACCUCUUAUCCGUCCAAAAUGUGAAAAGUCCAAAACCACAACCCCACUAUCAAAAGCAUCUAAUGCUUCAU